This 2297-nucleotide ribosomal RNA is filed under the name Campylobacter jejuni. RNAcentral describes it as "partial 23S ribosomal RNA". It matches the Rfam family "Bacterial large subunit ribosomal RNA", at positions 1 to 2160 of the family's 2925-position model. The record is from RNAcentral. Lineage: Bacteria; Pseudomonadati; Campylobacterota; Epsilonproteobacteria; Campylobacterales; Campylobacteraceae.
AAAAAAGGUAAGCUACUAAGAGCGAAUGGUGGAUGCCUUGACUGGUAAAGGCGAUGAAGGACGUACUAGACUGCGAUAAGCUACGGGGAGCUGUCAAGAAGCUUUGAUCCGUAGAUUUCCGAAUGGGGCAACCCAAUGUAUAGAGAUAUACAUUACCUAUAUAGGAGCGAACGAGGGGAAUUGAAACAUCUUAGUACCCUCAGGAAAAGAAAUCAAUAGAGAUUGCGUCAGUAGCGGCGAGCGAAAGCGCAAGAGGGCAAACCCAGUGCUUGCACUGGGGGUUGUAGGACUGCAAUGUGCAAGAGCUGAGUUUAGCAGAACAUUCUGGAAAGUAUAGCCAUAGAGGGUGAUAGUCCCGUAUGCGAAAAACAAAGCUUAGCUAGCAGUAUCCUGAGUAGGGCGGGACACGAGGAAUCCUGUCUGAAUCCGGGUCGACCACGAUCCAACCCUAAAUACUAAUACCAGAUCGAUAGUGCACAAGUACCGUGAGGGAAAGGUGAAAAGAACUGAGGUGAUCAGAGUGAAAUAGAACCUGAAACCAUUUGCUUACAAUCAUUCAGAGCACUAUGUAGCAAUACAGUGUGAUGGACUGCCUUUUGCAUAAUGAGCCUGCGAGUUGUGGUGUCUGGCAAGGUUAAGCAAACGCGAAGCCGUAGCGAAAGCGAGUCUGAAUAGGGCGCUUAGUCAGAUGCUGCAGACCCGAAACGAAGUGAUCUAUCCAUGAGCAAGUUGAAGCUAGUGUAAGAACUAGUGGAGGACUGAACCCAUAGGCGUUGAAAAGCCCCGGGAUGACUUGUGGAUAGGGGUGAAAGGCCAAUCAAACUUCGUGAUAGCUGGUUCUCUCCGAAAUAUAUUUAGGUAUAGCGUUGUGUCGUAAUAUAAGGGGGUAGAGCACUGAAUGGGCUAGGGCAUACACCAAUGUACCAAACCCUAUCAAACUCCGAAUACCUUAUAUGUAAUCACAGCAGUCAGGCGGCGAGUGAUAAAAUCCGUCGUCAAGAGGGAAACAACCCAGACUACCAGCUAAGGUCCCUAAAUCUUACUUAAGUGGAAAACGAUGUGAAGUUACUUAAACAACCAGGAGGUUGGCUUAGAAGCAGCCAUCCUUUAAAGAAAGCGUAAUAGCUCACUGGUCUAGUGAUUUUGCGCGGAAAAUAUAACGGGGCUAAAGUAAGUACCGAAGCUGUAGACUUGCGCACAACUUAGAUUAUUUAAGUUUAGAAUAUGAGAAACUAAGUUAUAUUUUUACUGAUUUUUAUAGAGUAAAGAUAGAAAUAAAACUUAGUAAAAUCAGUAAAAAUAUUCUUAGGCUAAAGUUAAGUAGUUUAAGUUGUGUGCAAGUGGUAGGAGAGCGUUCUAUUUGCGUCGAAGGUAUACUGGUAAGGAGUGCUGGAGCGAAUAGAAGUGAGCAUGCAGGCAUGAGUAGCGAUAAUUAAUGUGAGAAUCAUUAACGCCGUAAACCCAAGGUUUCCUACGCGAUGCUCGUCAUCGUAGGGUUAGUCGGGUCCUAAGUCGAGUCCGAAAGGGGUAGACGAUGGCAAAUUGGUUAAUAUUCCAAUACCAACAUUAGUGUGCGAUGGAAGGACGCUUAGGGCUAAGGGGGCUAGCGGAUGGAAGUGCUAGUCUAAGGUCGUAGGAGGUUAUACAGGCAAAUCCGUAUAACAAUACUCCGAGAACUGAAAGGCUUUUUGAAGUCUUCGGAUGGAUAGAAGAACCCCUGAUGCCGUCGAGCCAAGAAAAGUUUCUAAGUUUAGCUAAUGUUGCCCGUACCGUAAACCGACACAGGUGGGUGGGAUGAGUAUUCUAAGGCGCGUGGAAGAACUCUCUUUAAGGAACUCUGCAAAAUAGCACCGUAUCUUCGGUAUAAGGUGUGGUUCGCUUCGUAUUAGGAUUUACUCCGAAAGCGAAGAAACUUACAACAAAGAGUCCCUCCCGACUGUUUACCAAAAACACAGCACUCUGCUAACUCGUAAGAGGAUGUAUAGGGUGUGACGCCUGCCCGGUGCUCGAAGGUUAAUUGAUGGGGUUAGCAUUAGCGAAGCUCUUGAUCGAAGCCCGAGUAAACGGCGGCCGUAACUAUAACGGUCCUAAGGUAGCGAAAUUCCUUGUCGGUUAAAUACCGACCUGCAUGAAUGGCGUAACGAGAUGGGAGCUGUCUCAAAGAGGGAUCCAGUGAAAUUGUAGUGGAGGUGAAAAUUCCUCCUACCCGCGGCAAGACGGAAAGACCCCGUGGACCUUUACUACAGCUUGACACUGCUAUUUGGAUAAGAAUGUGCAGGAUAGGUGGGAGGCUUUGA